Macaca mulatta (Rhesus monkey) is the source of this 1762-nucleotide non-coding RNA. The record is from RefSeq and is a predicted model, not a curated record. NCBI's taxonomy places the organism in Eukaryota, Metazoa, Chordata, Mammalia, Primates, Cercopithecidae.
CAGAUAAGGAAGCUGAGGCACUGAGAGGAGAAGUAACAAGCUCAAGGUCUCAAAGCAAUGGGACCGUUCUUACAAGAUGGAAGGUCAGACUUCUGGAAGAGCAGUUCCCUUCUGCAGUGCUGCUUCUCUGUCUCACAUGGAAGAAAUGCGUAUUUGUCUCCAUCAAUCCUCAAGCACUUGCCAAAAUCCAGCCAUGUAGGUUGUGGGAGCAGCUGCAACUGGAGAAGGAUGUGGAUACGAGGAGGAAAGGGGGGAUUUUAAAGAAGUUUGCUGUGGUCUACAGGGGGUCUGGAAAUGCACACGAAGAACAGGACUUAUUCUGAAAUAUCUUUUAGUGGCUACACUUAUUCUUUAGCCGCCCUACACUGAAACGACACGGUGAGCUACAGAUUUUUGAUCAUUGUGUUCAACAUCUUUAUCGUUAAAAAUAAAAAAAAAAAACAACAAAAAGGAGAAUGUCUGUUCUCCAUGAGGAAUUGCAGUAAAGGAUGACACAUAUUUUCCCUCUUCAAUUUUCUCCAGGAAAUAAGUCAUUGUAUCUGAGAAUGGUAGCCUGAGAAUACAAGUCUAUUUUUAUGUAUGAUUAUGUCAUCUGCAAACAGCUUUUGAAAGAAACACCCAGGGUAAUUUAUCAAGGAAACAGCUUUUGACUCUAUCCUUUUCCCUGGGGUUUAUGAAACUUCAGCAGGUGGCAUUUUGGUAUUUAGCAUGACAAGCUUGUGAAAUUGCAACAGCUAGCAAAUGGAGGAGCAAGUUGAUUUUGCUUCUUCAUAGAUGAAAGAAGUUAUUUCUUAGGGUUUUUGAAUGUCCUAGGUCCUGGGGUAGGUGCUUUCACUUACAUCCAGUUUCACACACGUGUAAUUUAAUUGUCACAGCAUUCAUUUAUUCAUGUAUUCAUUCAGCUAAUAUUUAUCACAUGCCUACCAAUAAGCAGACACUAGGUAAAGUGCUGGGCUUUCAAGGUGAGCACACAGAGCUGGUGAGGAAAACAGACACAUGGGUAUCUACUUAAAUGUGUCAUCCUGUAAAUGUAUUGGGUGUUUGACAACAAAUAGGAGCACCUCACCUUAUAGUAAUGACCGCUCCCUUAAGAUAUUAUAGUUGAGAAAAUUGGGGCUUAGUGUCAUUAAAAUGAUUGUGCUAACUAGUAAUGAGUAGUGAGGGCGGGAUCCACUGCCAUUGGUGUGAUUUCACAUCAUCUCUCAGAGGGUCCCCAAGGAGUCAUUGAAAAUACUGUGUUUUCUAACUCUCUUCCUUGUGCUCACAAACAUCGUGCCUCUUCUCCCCCUGUUUCUGAAGUGUGAUCACAUCUCAUUUAUCUUGUGCAUUCUCCUCUCUAGUUCUGCGAUCCUACUUCACUCUUCUCCUAAUUUCAUCUUUGGGUCUGAAGAUACAGUAAUGAUAAUCGAAGUAGCAUAAAUAACCCUAAACACAGAACAAAGAGAGAGGAACCCCUUUUGAUUGAUCUUCAGCUACUCUUACCUGCCUGUAAGCUCCAGCAGUGGAAAAACUUGGCUUCUAAACCUCCUUCCAUUAGGUUUUAAGGCAGAAGCCAUAGUGGUUCACUGUUAACAAUAUUCCCUACUCAUUUAAGUGGUGUGAUAAGGGGAUACAGAGCAGGGGGUCUUCAGAUUUUUCUGUAAUGAGCCAGUAACAAAUAUAUUAGGCUUUAUGGAUCUUAUGGCCUCUGUCAUAAUUAUUCUAUUCUGAGGUUGCAUCCCAAAAGCCACCAGAGACAAUUCCUGAACAGAGGGGUGUGGCU